UACACGACCGUACCGCAAACCGACACUGGUGCGCGAGAUGAGUAUUCUAAGGCGCUUGAGAGAACUCAGGAGAAGGAACUCGGCAAAUUGACACCCUAACUUCGGAAGAAGGUGUGCCUUUAGUAGGUGAACCAUUUACUUGGGGAGCCCAAUGAGGCUGCAAAAAAUCGGUGGCUGCAACUGUUUAUUAAAAACACAGCACUCUGCUAAGACGAAAGUCGACGUAUAGGGUGUGACGCCUGCCCGGUGCUGGAAGAUUAAAUGAUGGGGUGCAAGCUCUUGAUUGAAGUCCCAGUAAACGGCGGCCGUAACGAUAACGGUCCUAAGGUAGCGAAAUUCCUUGUCGGGUAAGUUCCGACCUGCACGAAUGGCGUAAUGAUGGCCACACUGUCUCCUCCUGAGACUCAGCGAAGUUGAAAUGUUUGUGAUGAUGCAAUCUCCCCGCGGAAAGACGGAAAGACCCCAUGAACCUUUACUGUAGCUUUGUAUUGGACUUUGAACAGAUCUGUGUAGGAUAGGUGGGAGGCUUUGAAGUGUGGUCGCUAGAUCGCAUGGAGCCAACGUUGAAAUACCACCCUGGUGUGUUUGAGGUUCUAACCUAGGUCCAUUAUCUGGAUCGGGGACAGUGCAUGGUAGGCAGUUUGACUGGGGCGGUCUCCUCCCAAAGUGUAACGGAGGAGUUCGAAGGUACGCUAGGUACGGUCGGACAUCGUGCUAAUAGUGCAAUGGCAUAAGCGUGCUUAACUGCGAGACUGACAAGUCGAGCAGAUGCGAAAGCAGGACAUAGUGAUCCGGUGGUUCUGUAUGGAAGGGCCAUCGCUCAACGGAUAAAAGGUACUCUGGAUAACAGGCUGAUACCGCCCAAGAGUUCAUAUCGACGGCGGUGUUUGGCACCUCGAUGUCGGCUCAUCUCAUCCUGGGGCUGUAGCCGGUCCCAAGGGUAUGGCUGUUCGCCAUUUAAAGAGGUACGUGAGCUGGGUUUAAAACGUCGUGAGACAGUUUGGUCCCUAUCUUCCGUGGGCGCUGCAGAUUUGAGGAAGCCUGCUCCUAGUACGAGAGGACCGGAGUGGACGAACCUCUGGUGUAUCGGUUGUCACGCCAGUGGCAUUGCCGAGUAGCUAAGUUCGGAAGAAAUAACCGCUGAAAGCAUCUAAGCGGGAAACUCGUUUCAAGAUUAGAUCUGCCGGGGCCUUGAGCCCCCUAAAGAGUCGUUCAAGACCAGGACGUUGAUAGGUCAGAUGUGGAAGCG
This 1249-nucleotide ribosomal RNA is filed under the name metagenome. RNAcentral's name for it is "bacterial LSU rRNA". It matches the Rfam family "Bacterial large subunit ribosomal RNA", at positions 1635 to 2875 of the family's 2925-position model. The record is from RNAcentral.